Molecule: long non-coding RNA, 489 nt
Organism: Mirounga angustirostris (Northern elephant seal)
Lineage: Eukaryota; Metazoa; Chordata; Mammalia; Carnivora; Phocidae
Exons: 4
Source: RefSeq, a predicted model, not a curated record
UGGAGAUGCAAUCUAAGGCCCUGACUGUGUGUGCCAGGCACCAUUCUAAGGACUUCACAUGCUACCAUUGUUGAACACCUUAGGAGUCAUUCCUUAGGAGAAGUUCAGCAGCAAUCCCUGCAAGGAAAAGGUGCUUGUGACUCACAUGGAUGGAAAAACCAAACUUGUCAUUUGGGAAAGGAACUCGAUUAUGCCCAGUGGAAGGAAGAAUUACAGAAGAGAUUCGUGACCUAGUUUCAGAAAUGAGAGAUGUCUGUAAGCUGAUGACAUUCGGAAAACCUUAAAACAAUACCUUUUUUAUGUGGCACAAGAAGUGACUUAUAAAAGUACUGAAAAUGGGAAAAGCCUAAGAUGAGACCUUGGAAUACAAACAUCCAUUCAUGAAAUGGGAAACAGUGAAGGACAUUAGAGCCAAGCGUCCCACCUGGUUGUUUGGAGAAGUUGAAAUAUGUGAAGAGUAAGAGCAUAACCCUAGCUGGGCUUCCUUUU